UGGAUCACCUCCUAACAGGGAGACAAACAACGAUUUUGAUGUCUGAGUUUUUUUAUUCUUAGGCCAAAAUCCUGUCACCUUAGGUCGAUCGGUACCUCAACCUUGAAGCUAAGAGUAUUCAGCAAUGGAUAUCUGCUUAGUGGAGAUUUUUAGUUCCUAAACUUUGUCUAGUUCACAACCCAUUAGGGAUGAGACUCCUGGGCCAUUAGCUCAGGUGGUUAGAGCGCACCCCUGAUAAGGGUGAGGUCCCUGGUUCAAGUCCAGGAUGGCCCAUUCGGUGUAGGGGGUUUAGCUCAGUUGGUAGAGCGCCUGCUUUGCAAGCAGGAUGUCAGGAGUUCGAGUCUCCUAACCUCCACUGACUACCAAAAUCCCCAUCUCCAAAACCUGGAGUAUGAACUCGUAUGGAUUGUGAUUUAGAUGUGUCCGCUAGAUGACCCUAGCUUCUUGUCAUUUUAAGGCAUGGAAAUAGUUCCAUGAUAUUUAAUUGAUAGGAUGCUGGGCUCGAUUCAAUGUAUUGAGAGAUCAAUGCAUUGUUUUGAUGUCUGGUCGAACCUUGACAACUGCAUAGUAAGUCUGGAAAGAAUAAAGCAUCUUUAUGGAUGCAUCAUUCUUGAGUGUUAAUUCACGAUGGGAUGGUGUUAAUUCUAAAGCAAGAGCCGAGACUCCAGCAUGUUCUUUCAAAUGUGUCGAGCAUUUGAGAGUUUGAUUUUAAUUUCUAUUUUUAGAAGUUAGAAGAAUCUGUUUCAACGACAGCAAGCGUGUUGGAGAUACAUUGGUCAAGCUACAAAGGGCUCACGGCGGAUACCUUGGCACACAGAGGCGAUGAAGG
Molecule: transfer RNA, 829 nt
Filed under: uncultured Synechococcus sp.
Lineage: Bacteria; Bacillati; Cyanobacteriota; Cyanophyceae; Synechococcales; Synechococcaceae
Description: partial contains 16S ribosomal RNA, 16S-23S ribosomal RNA intergenic spacer, and 23S ribosomal RNA
Rfam family: tRNA (bases 283-355)
Source: RNAcentral